CGUAAAACUGGCAAGGGAUAUUUUAACUUUUCAGAAGGUUUACAUACAUCUCGAAGGGACAGAAAGAAUUUUCAAAUUUUCUAAAGGAAAUGCUCUAAGAAAACGCAGGGUGGGGCGUCUCCAUCUUGGAUUUGCAUUUACUCUUAUAACACCUAGAGGAAAGGUGUCCUGGCCAGAGGGAAGAGCCGGCGCAAAGGCCCCGAGGUGGGUACCGUGGAUUCACGUGAGUGGAGGGUCCGGCAGAGGGACAGAGAGCGGAGAGGUGGAGGGGGCCUCCUAGCCAUUGAGAAGAAGUCGGCUUUUGGCCCCAGUGAGGUGAGGCCGAGGGAGAAGUCUGCGGCGAGGACGGGAGCGGGUGGAGGGCGGACGCGGUGAGAGCGGGUGGACGCUGCUGCGAUAGCCCAGCGAGAGGCCGGCGGCAGCCUGGAGGUGGCGAGGCUGCUUGGGUUGGGCAGAUAUUCCAGAGGCAGGGCCCACGGGAUCUCCCGGUGGAGCAGGCUAGCAGCGGAAGAGGAAUAGGAGCUGGGCAUAACCUCGGCCUUUGAUCUGAGCACCUGGGAGCAUGGCCCUGAGGCCGCCCGCGAUGGGGAAGGGAACAGGGAGCGCCCUGGGGUGGGGCGCCCAGGAAUUCUGUCCGGGGCACGGUCGGCUGCGUUUUCGUGAGGAGGCCAGAAGAGCUGUCGCGGCGGCAAGACCCCAGCGUGGGCCCCGUGGGCAUCCCGCCGAGGUGCUGGGUGAGGCCACCGGGGAGGGAGGACGGCCAAGUUCCGGGCCACCAAGGAUGAGCAGCCGGAGGUGGGGACGGGCCUUGACGAGAUGAGCUCUGGGGGAGAAGCCUGACCCGAGAGGGUCGGGGGAGGGAGUGGACAGGGAGGGCGCGCAGACACCUCCGGGGUUAGCUGGGGAGGAACAAAGAAAUGGUGGUGCCUCGGAGGUGAUGCGCGAUCAGAGGGUUUUGGGGUUGGGGUUUCUAGUUUGCAGGAAUGACACGUGUACAAGCCGGUGGGCGGCCGCUGCGAACCGGGUUCUGCGGUGAGCGGGGCGCCGGGGCUCGGCCUGGGGCCACCUCCGCCUGGGGACGUCGUGGAGAAGCCGGGCUCCAGGGCCCCAGCCCCGGCCGCCAGGCGCCAUCGCAGGCGGGGCAGGGAGCCGGGGGUCCCCGGCAGCGGCGCGCGGGCGUGGGCGGCCGCACCCCCUCCGGCCCGGGCCGCACGGCCGCCCGCACUUGCCCUCUGGCGGCGGAAGCGCGCAGCGCGUGUCGAGCAGGGAACCUGGACCCGUUCAGCUUCCAUUUCAGCGUGCUGCUGUCUGGGUCUCCUUGGGCACCGCGACGAACAGCGCGAGGACAGGACGCAGCAGACCGUGGGGCGCGUCGGGCAGCGGUGCGCGCCGUGCGGUGGGGACCCCGGGGAGCCGGGGCGCGAUGAGGCGGCGGGCCCCGGGCCCGGGCGUGGGUGUGCGGGGAGCGCAGGGCGCUCAUUCCCGGAGGCGCGAGGAAGGAAAACGGGCUGCGAGGUUCCCAGUGCAAGUGUCUUUUGCUGCUGACCGACCUCAGACCCGGCCCUCCUGGAGAUCUCCUCUCCCUCGGGAUCCCUGUGGCCUCCUACCCAGUUCCCACGUAGCCUGACCCACCAGGACCAGGUUGGGAGCUUUAUGAAUUUUAACACGUUAGGAUAUCCGUCACUACAACAGGAUACAAAAUGUUUCCAUCGCCCCAAAAAACUCCCUCCUGCUGGGGCUUUAUAGGCACAGCCCCCCGCCUGAGCCCCGGCAGCCACCGCUCUGCCCUCCGUCACCACAGCUCUACCUUUUGGAAUGUCGUACAAAUGGAACCAGACUGUGCGACCUUGGGGACCAGCUUCUUUCACUCAGCGCGAUGUCUUCGAGAUUCGUCUGGGUGGUUGUGUGAUCAAUAGUUUGUGUCUUUCCGCAACUCCCCAGUGUUUCCUGGUGUAGAUGACCACAGUCUGUCUGCCCAUUCAUCCAUGAAAACAUAUUUGGGUUGUUUCCAGCUCUUACAAAUAAAGCUGCUGCCAGUAUUCACUACAA
This is an RNA transcript of Equus quagga, 2049 nucleotides long. It is a transcript of the gene named translation initiation factor IF-2-like, with no coding region annotated. The record is from RefSeq and is a predicted model, not a curated record. Lineage: Eukaryota; Metazoa; Chordata; Mammalia; Perissodactyla; Equidae. The transcript has 4 exons.